Salvelinus sp. IW2-2015 is the source of this 287-nucleotide non-coding RNA. The record is from RefSeq and is a predicted model, not a curated record. NCBI's taxonomy places the organism in Eukaryota, Metazoa, Chordata, Actinopteri, Salmoniformes, Salmonidae.
AUACUUCAGGAGCCGGAAGUAUGGUGCUCAACACGUUUCAAAUGUAAUGGAUGGCCAGCUGACGUAAACUUGUAUCUGAUAUCAAUAAUGUUCCGAUUCUACAUAACAGCAAAACCAUAACGGUGAAUUGGAUAUAUAUGUUACAGUAUUUAUAAAAUAACAAAAAUACAGUCAUGGAAGAUGUAACGAUAGAGACAGCCGAGGAGAUCUUAGCCAAGCAACAUCGCAAGGAGAAGAAGGACCUGCAAGCUCAAAUCCAGAGCAUGAAAAAUGCUGUCCCCAAAAAU